This 1145-nucleotide ribosomal RNA is filed under the name uncultured fungus. RNAcentral's name for it is "eukaryotic LSU rRNA". The stretch from base 516 to 1145 matches the Rfam family "Eukaryotic large subunit ribosomal RNA", at positions 1 to 649 of the family's 3401-position model. Lineage: Eukaryota; Fungi. The record is from RNAcentral.
AAGUCGUAACAAGGUUUCCGUAGGUGAACCUGCGGAAGGAUCAUUACAGAGAACAUGCCCCUCUGGGGUAGAUCUCCAACCCUAUGUUUAUUCUACCCACGUUGCUUUGGUAGGCCCGCCUGACGGCCGCCGGCGUCUCCGCUGGCCAGCGCCUACCAGAGGACCCCAAACUCUCAGUUUACUGUCGUCCGAUUCUCUUUUUAUAAUAAAAGAAAACUUUCAACAACGGAUCUCUUGGUUCUGGCAUCGAUGAAGAACGCAGCGAAAUGCGAUAAGUAAUGUGAAUUGCAGAAUUCAGUGAAUCAUCGAAUCUUUGAACGCACAUUGCACCCCUUGGUAUUCCGGGGGGUAUGCCUGUCCGAGCGUCAUUUCAACCCUCAAGCAUCGCUUGGUAUUGGGCAUCACCGUCCUGGUGGGCCUCAAAAUUAGUGGCGGUGCCAUCUGGUCUCCAGCGUAGUAAAUCUCUCGCUGUGGGGUCACGAAUGUGCCAUCCGCCAGCAAUCAAACCUCCAGUUUGACCUCGGAUCAGGUAGGGAUACCCGCUGAACUUAAGCAUAUCAAUAAGCGGAGGAAAAGAAACCAACAGGGAUUGCCUCAGUAACGGCGAGUGAAGCGGCAACAGCUCAAAUUUGAAAUCUGGCCUCGCGGUCCGAAUUGUAAUUUGUAGAGGAUGCUUCGGACGAAGUCUAGUCUAAGUUUCUUGGAAUAGAACGUCGUAGAGGGUGAGAACCCCGUAUGCGACUAGGCCCUUCGAUCCAUGUGAAGCUCCUUCAACGAGUCGAGUUGUUUGGGAAUGCAGCUCUAAAUGGGUGGUAAAUUUCAUCUAAAGCUAAAUACCGGCCAGAGACCGAUAGCGCACAAGUAGAGUGAUCGAAAGAUGAAAAGCACUUUGGAAAGAGAGUUAAACAGUACGUGAAAUUGUUGAAAGGGAAGCGCUUGCAACCAGACUUGCACCCAGCUGAUCAUCCGAUGUUCUCACCGGUGCACUCAGCUGGAUUCAGGCUAGCAUCGGUUCCGGUGGUUGGAUAAAGACCUCAGGAAUGUGGCUUCUCUCGGGGAGUGUUAUAGCCUGUGGUGCCAUGCGGCCUACCGGGACCGAGGACCGCGCUUCGGCUAGGAUGCUAGCGUAAUGGUUGUAAGCGACC